GCUUUUGAACUUCAGCCACAUCUUCAAAAGUAAAAUCUUCCCUUUGGCAAAGGACAAAGGGAACACCGCGCGGCACAGAGUAAUCAGCCAGGGUCCGCGCAAUCCGAUCCGAGGCUUCAACGUCUUUGGUGGUCAACCCAAGCGAAGCACUCAUGUGUACUCGGUUGGGGUCAUUCCAUUCUUCCCGACUCCCGGGAAGAAACUCAGAAGUAAUGAAGAAGAACUCCUUCU
This 231-nucleotide long non-coding RNA is filed under the name Zostera marina. Its description in RNAcentral is "long non-coding RNA (ZMAR_LNC004572)". Lineage: Eukaryota; Viridiplantae; Streptophyta; Magnoliopsida; Alismatales; Zosteraceae. The record is from RNAcentral.